RNAcentral lists this non-coding RNA (211 nucleotides) under Methylobacillus flagellatus. RNAcentral also lists the same sequence under 1 other name. The record is from RNAcentral. Lineage: Bacteria; Pseudomonadati; Pseudomonadota; Betaproteobacteria; Nitrosomonadales; Methylophilaceae.
AGAAUCCACCUCACUUACGGUUUUCCCCUGCAUCAUCACGGGGAAAUAAUAGGGAAUCCGGUGAAGACAAGAUGUUCGUAAUCCGGAACUGCCCCCGCAACUGUAAUCGGUGAGUCUGUUUGCCACUCUUGCCACUGGACUUGAUCCGGGAAGGCCGCAAGCAAGACGAUGACCCGAGAGUCAGGAGACCUGCCGCAAGUGAGCUAUGUUG